AUGUUCCAGAAAAUUCGGCGUAUUUUGUGGAUGAAGUGCAAAGUGGUGACUUUGUCGAUGCUUCUUAAACAUAAUGGGUUAUAAAAAAUUGUUUCUUUUUCCAGAUUAUUAAACUCAAUGCCAUUAUAGAUGGGAGAUUCAAUGAUUGUCUGGUUAAAAUUUAUGAAAAAAAAAACAGAACGAAAAGAAAAAUAAAAGAGUAGUGCAUAGUGUUUGUAUUUGGGAAAAAGGAACCUUGAUACAGCUGGAUCUUGGAGGCCUUCUAGUUGUUGUUCAUGUGCUAUAACUGGAUCUUACAUGGAUGGUUUGUCUGUUUUUCAUAUGUCGUAUGGCAGCCAUUUGUAGAUCAAGUAUUGAUUAGUGUUUGAUGGAUAAUUUUUGCAGUCAAAAAGUGUUUGGUGCAAGGAAGGAUGGAGCGCUGCUACCGCUUGUAAAUAAGAGUAUGAUAUACAUAUCCAGCCUACAUGCAAAUGGGGCAUCACUAUCAGGUCUGCUCCAACUGCAAUCUACUGUCCCUGCAGCCUCUUUUGCAAUGGCUAUUUUCCUCUUUUGGCAACUUAUUUUACCUUUGUGACUAACUCUUUUGGCAACUUAUUUUACCUUUGUGACUAACAUUUGGCCUGGACACUUCCAGGCAAGUAGUAGCAAGGACUAGCUUAACUGAAGGGAGACAUUCUAUACGCUGGAUUAGAAUGAGCGGCAACAUAAAUUUGCAUAUUGCCUACAGAUAUUGAGAUUUCACGUUUGCCACACAAAUAUUGUACACAUUUUGUUUUUAUACUGAUACACUAAAGGUUUCCAAGUUUUUACUGUCAAAUGAUAUCAAGGUUUAAAUUCAACAUAUCCUUUAACCAUAUGAUGUUAUAUAUGAGAAAAUAAAAUAAAUAAAAUAAAGAACACACUCUUUUGGAAAAAAAAAAGGGCAAAGGAGAAAAAAAUUUAUUAU
Molecule: long non-coding RNA, 946 nt
Filed under: Gossypium barbadense (sea-island cotton)
Lineage: Eukaryota; Viridiplantae; Streptophyta; Magnoliopsida; Malvales; Malvaceae
Description: long non-coding RNA (GBAR_LNC000826)
Source: RNAcentral